Molecule: ribosomal RNA, 433 nt
Filed under: uncultured bacterium
Lineage: Bacteria
Description: partial 16S ribosomal RNA
Rfam family: Bacterial small subunit ribosomal RNA
Source: RNAcentral
ACGGAGGCAGCAGUGGGGAAUAUUGCACAAUGGGGGAAACCCUGAUGCAGCAACGCCGCGUGAGUGGAGAAGUAUUUCGGUAUGUAAAGCUCUAUCAGCAGGGAAGAUAAUGACGGUACCUGACUAAGAAGCUCCGGCUAAAUACGUGCCAGCAGCCGCGGUAAUACGUAUGGAGCAAGCGUUAUCCGGAUUUACUGGGUGUAAAGGGUGCGUAGGUGGCACUGCAAGUCAGAUGUGAAAGACCGGGGCUCAACCCCGGGGCUGCAUUUGAAACUGCGGGGCUGGAGUGCAGGAGAGGCAAGCGGAAUUCCUAGUGUAGCGGUGAAAUGCGUAGAUAUUAGGAGGAACACCAGUGGCGAAGGCGGCUUGCUGGACUGAUACUGACACUGAGGCACGAAAGCGUGGGGAGCAAACAGGAUUAGAUACCCUGGUA